Molecule: microRNA precursor, 109 nt
Organism: Sorghum bicolor (sorghum)
Lineage: Eukaryota; Viridiplantae; Streptophyta; Magnoliopsida; Poales; Poaceae
Rfam family: MIR5565 microRNA precursor family
Source: Rfam
UUAGUUGGAUUGACAUCAAUCCACAUGUGUUGGGGUGGAUUUAAGUGGAAUUUAAACUAAAUUUUACCCCAAUCCACUUCAAUACAUAUGGAUUGAAGUGAAUUCGACA